Jatropha curcas is the source of this 2984-nucleotide non-coding RNA. NCBI's taxonomy places the organism in Eukaryota, Viridiplantae, Streptophyta, Magnoliopsida, Malpighiales, Euphorbiaceae. The record is from RefSeq and is a predicted model, not a curated record.
CUGCACCAAUUGAUUUGUCUCGGUUCUGAGUUUUGGGAUUGGUGAACCGAGCCGAUCGGUAGUGUCGUUCCUCUUCUUGUGUUUAGGCUUCAUCAUACGAAUUUCUUAGUUGUUCGGUCUUAUCUCUGCCUUUGCGAUCUGCGAUCUGUAUUAGAAUGUCAUAUUUUGUUAUCUUUGUUUCGUUUCUUUGAUCUAGUUUUCAUAUCAUCUUAUAUGCGUCAUGAUAUCGGCUUCUGUAUGAUUUGGUUUAUGGAUUUCAGUUUUGAAAUUUGGUGAUUGAAUUGGCUCGGGCGUUGUUGAUGCGAAGGCAACAGUUGGUUUGACUGAUCCUUUUGAUACUAGCUUUUUGUUGAAGAUUUGUCUGCCUGAGGCUUUGUUUCUUUUUUGAUUUAUUGGAUCGUCAAUUUGAUGGUAGAAUACCUGCUAUGGUUGUUUUUUGGUGUUAGGUUUUGAAUAAGCGGAAACGAAGCAGGUUUUUGAAGUCCAAGUUACGGAAUCAGGGUCACUUUUUUGGUCUUCUGUAAUUGGUUGGGAGGUAUACUGAACUUUUUGUGUUUUUUUGGGUUUUCUAUGACGAUGCUCCGUCCUCUUUUAUGAGGUGAAGAUUGAUGCGUUUUCCAUCAUGAUCAGUAAUUUGAAUUUUUCUUCUUCAUUCCAGAUAAUGAAAUAGUAUGGGUUUUGAGUAUCUUUCAAGUGAUUCUGAUUAUAAAAAACUUUGUUUCAUUGCCUCAUAUUAUUUGGUAAAUUAUUGAUACUGAGAAACUUAAAGAGUGUGAGCUGAAGUGUCUGUUUUCCAGGAUCUCAUGCAUCGGUGUUUCAGGGUUUGUACAUGCACCAAGAUGGAUAUAUUUUUUUUUUUUUUGCUGUGUAGAAAGGAUGAUAUGGUCUCGUAUUGGUCUUAGUAGUAAAAGGAAGAGUAUUUUACAUCCUUGUAUCAAGUUGCAUUUUUGUGGUUGAUUUUCUGUUAUGUGCUUUUUUCAUGUUCUUUAACUGGCUUUUUGUUUCUUGCUUAACGUCCUGCAGAUUCGUUCAUAAAGGAAUUAUCUGGUUGGUCUAGCAUCUGGAAGUGGCUCUCAAUCCUUUCUUUUUCAAUCUUUAUUGUUGUGCUUAAUCAAUUAUUAAUAGCUGUAUCAAUAGUCUUUUUGUAAAUUGAACUGAAAAAUGGAAGUUUGCUUUCUUAUUUCUUCAGGGGUUGGCUUAUGUCUUAUGUUGGAGAUAUGUAGUAAGCUUGAAUAAGGGGUGCUCUUGGAUUUUAGUUAGCAAUAUUUAUUUUUCUCCCCAAUUUUUUAGAAUAGUGGUAGAGCCUGAUUAUAUUUGUGUGAUUUUCCAGGAUUCUAUCUGUUGUCCAAAAAAAAGUAGAUAUAUAUAUCUAUCCGUAGCGCAAACACUGAACAGGGAGUUCUGUUUAUCCCUUAUUAGAAUUUAUUUAAACCUUACUUCAGAACAAAAUGGAGUUGAUGCUGUUUUUCCAGGAUCGUCUGUGCAUUGAGAAAUUCAUGGUCUCCGCAUGGAACAAGAUCAAUUUGGGGAAUCUUUCAUUCAAUUGGUUAAUGUUCUUUUUUUGAUGAUGUGAUACAUUAGCGGUUGUUAUUUGGAGACGAAUUGAGUGAUGCUAUGUAUUCUUCUCAGCUGUGUGUCAAGGAGGAAACCUUCUGUGCGGUGAUUCUUGAGUUAUUUAUUUAUUUAUUUUUGUUUGUUCAUUAUUACACUAGCAACAGAUCUUUCCAGUAUCCAUAAAUUGUAGGGAAUGGUUUCGUCUAAACUAUCUUUGGAACCUUGUGAAUAGGAAUCAAAAGUGGAGAUUUAGAUGUUUGUUCUGCAACUCUUGUGGGGCUAUGCUCUAGCUGUUUAUAGAGUAGUUUUCUUGGACAUUUGCCAGUAAUUGAUGUUUUGUAUGCUUCCAGUUAUUUGCCUGCUCUGAGCAUGGGUGGUGUGAUUUUUCCAGGUUUCAACCAGUGCAGGAGAAAUAUAGGGAAUGAAUUUAUUUAGUAACGCUCUCAGUGGUUUUAUCUCAUGCUGUGGGGACGAGCUGGCAGAGGGAUAAGGAAGCUACCUACCCCUUUUGGUGUUCCUAUGAUACAAUUUUUCAACAUUCUAAGUUGAUGGUUCAAGAAUUUUAAAUUGAGUUUUUGCAGGGAUUUAUACCAUUUUUGUUUUGAAGAAUGUGUUUUCACGUCACUCAGAAUUUGAAUCGUCCUUUUCAAUGCAUGCCUUGCUCUGAUGUACAGUGGAAUUGUACUGCGUCCCCAGAGGCCUAAGAGACUGAGAUUCCCUUUUGAAUUGAACUAAAGCUAGAGGCUUGCUUUCUUGUUUUCUCCGGGUGGUUACUGUUUUCUGUUGAAGAUGUGAAGAUGUUUUCUUGCGGUUCUGGGACCUGUAUCCGGCUUUUGGGUUGAGAAAGGAGUUCCCUUUGUAUUUGUUCUUGUCAAGUUGGUAUUUUGUGGGUGUUGAUCUGAAGUGUGUUUUUCCUUUUCAUGAUUUUUUUUUUCAUUCUCUUUGUUUUGUGGGUCAGUUUUGCACUUGUUGAAGAUGUGGACUGAGCUUAAACAGAAGGGGUUUUGCACCUUAUCAAUAAUGUAAUUAAUGUUUUUCAUUUUCUAGAUAAUGGUGAAUCCUGAGCAUGGUAGUGUACUUUUCCAGGAUUCAUUUUCUCUUGGGGUCGUGUGGAGAAUAAUGUCAGCAAAGAGUUGAACAGGGAGUUUGUUUCCAGUCCUGUUAUUACAUUAUUGUUUUUCAGUUUCUAGAUAAUGGUGAAUCCUGAGCAUGGUAGUGUACUUUUCCAGGAUUCAUUUUCUCUUGGGGUCGUGUGGAGAAUAAUGUCAGCAAAGAGUUGAACAGGGAGUUUGUUUCCAGUCCUGUUAUUACAUUAUUGUUUUUCAGUUUCUAGAUAAUGGUGAAUCCUGAGCAUGGUAGUGUACUUUUCCAGGAUUCAUUUUCUCUUGGGGUCGUGUGGAGAAUAAUGUCAGCAAAGAGUUGAACAGGGA